RNAcentral lists this ribosomal RNA (520 nucleotides) under uncultured bacterium. RNAcentral's name for it is "bacterial SSU rRNA". It matches the Rfam family "Bacterial small subunit ribosomal RNA", at positions 120 to 674 of the family's 1533-position model. The record is from RNAcentral.
GGGAACGUGCCCUUCGGUUCGGAAUAACUCAGGGAAACUUGAGCUAAUACCGGAUACGCCCUUUUGGGGAAAGGUUUACUGCCGAAGGAUCGGCCCGCGUCUGAUUAGCUAGUUGGUGGGGUAACGGCCUACCAAGGCGACGAUCAGUAGCUGGUCUGAGAGGAUGAUCAGCCACACUGGGACUGAGACACGGCCCAGACUCCUACGGGAGGCAGCAGUGGGGAAUAUUGGACAAUGGGCGCAAGCCUGAUCCAGCCAUGCCGCGUGAGUGAUGAAGGCCUUAGGGUUGUAAAGCUCUUUUGUCCGGGACGAUAAUGACGGUACCGGAAGAAUAAGCCCCGGCUAACUUCGUGCCAGCAGCCGCGGUAAUACGAAGGGGGCUAGCGUUGCUCGGAAUCACUGGGCGUAAAGGGCGCGUAGGCGGCUUUUUAAGUCGGGGGUGAAAGCCUGUGGCUCAACCACAGAAUUGCCUUCGAUACUGGAAAGCUUGAGACCGGAAGAGGACAGCGGAACUGCGAGU